Molecule: unclassified non-coding RNA, 366 nt
Filed under: Hevea brasiliensis (rubber tree)
Lineage: Eukaryota; Viridiplantae; Streptophyta; Magnoliopsida; Malpighiales; Euphorbiaceae
Source: RNAcentral
GUCAUCUGCAGAAGUAAAAGAGGUUUGGAUCAGAUUUUUUUUAAAAUAUUUUUUUUAUGCAUAUCUGGUGAUUUGGCUUCAGCUGUUUCUCAAACUUAACUGCUUACACAGUGUAAGUUUAUAGAUAUUAAGGGUCAUUUUUAUGCUGCAUUACAUUUUAAGUGAUGGAGGAAAGUUAUAAAAAGAAAGAAAGAAUAUGUUAGAUUCUAGAACAAUUAUUCAUGUUGUUCUGGGCCAUGGUGCAUAGCCACUGUGGUUCUUGCUCGAUUUUUAGUGUAUGUCAGGUUCAAGUAGUUGAGCCUCCAUUGUCUGUGGAAGAUAUAAGGGAAGGUUUUUUCCAUUGGGACAGAUGGAAUUUACUUGUGA